This 425-nucleotide ribosomal RNA is filed under the name uncultured bacterium. RNAcentral describes it as "partial 16S ribosomal RNA". It matches the Rfam family "Bacterial small subunit ribosomal RNA", at positions 354 to 796 of the family's 1533-position model. The record is from RNAcentral.
GUGGGGAAUCUUGCGCAAUGGGCGAAAGCCUGACGCAGCCAUGCCGUGUGAAUGAUGAAGGUCUUAGGAUUGUAAAAUUCUUUCACCGGGGACGAUAAUGACGGUACCCGGAGAAGAAGCUCCGGCUAACUUCGUGCCAGCAGCCGCGGUAAUACGAAGGGGGCUAGCGUUGCUCGGAAUUACUGGGCGUAAAGGGCGCGUAGGCGGACAGCUUAGUCAGAGGUGAAAGCCCAGGGCUCAACCUUGGAAUUGCCUUUGAUACUGGCUGUCUUGAGUUUGGGAGAGGUGAGUGGAACUCCGAGUGUAGAGGUGAAAUUCGUAGAUAUUCGGAAGAACACCAGUGGCGAAGGCGACUCACUGGCCCAAUACUGACGCUGAGGCGCGAAAGCGUGGGGAGCAAACAGGAUUAGAUACCCGGGUAGUCC